This 454-nucleotide long non-coding RNA is filed under the name Capsella grandiflora. RNAcentral describes it as "long non-coding RNA (CGRA_LNC001090)". The record is from RNAcentral. Lineage: Eukaryota; Viridiplantae; Streptophyta; Magnoliopsida; Brassicales; Brassicaceae.
UUCGAUGUAUUCUGUGUCGUCUCUAAAUCUCUGCAAACCUUUCCUCCUCCUCUGUUCUAGUUCGCUCUGCUGUUCAUGUACCAACAAGUUAGUUAGUGAAAAAGAGCUCAAAAUUUAUCAUUCAACUAUAUGAUAAUGAUCAUGACAUUAGAUUUACACCAAGUCAUUAUAUUAUCAACCUCAGAUAUGUCCAGCUUCCUUCGAGCUUUGUCCCUCUUCUUUGCUUCCCACAUAUCAAUCUUUCUGUUUAACUUCUCAUACCUGCUUGUGUAAAACAUAUGUGAGUGUAAGCAACACACAUAAAUAUGUUUUCGUGUACUGAGACUUACUUCGCUUUGAUCUUAGCUAGUUCAGCUUUUUCCCAAGCAUCAGCUGUAGAAUCAUCUUUUCGACUGAUAUGUCCAGAACUCUGCCUUUUCAUUUCCCUAGGUGGAAGGUGCAUAGGCGAAGGUGA